GUGUCAGCCGCCGCGGUAAUACGUAGGGUGCAAGCGUUGUCCGGAAUUAUUGGGCGUAAAGAGCUCGUAGGCGGUCUGUCGCGUCGGCUGUGAAAACUCGGGGCUCAACUCCGAGCCUGCAGUCGAUACGGGCAGACUAGAGUGCUGUAGGGGAGACUGGAAUUCCUGGUGUAGCGGUGAAAUGCGCAGAUAUCAGGAGGAACACCGGUGGCGAAGGCGGGUCUCUGGGCAGUAACUGACGCUGAGGAGCGAAAGCGUGGGGAGCGAACAGGAUUAGAUACCCGGGUAGUCC
RNAcentral lists this ribosomal RNA (292 nucleotides) under uncultured bacterium. Its description in RNAcentral is "partial 16S ribosomal RNA". It matches the Rfam family "Bacterial small subunit ribosomal RNA", at positions 505 to 796 of the family's 1533-position model. The record is from RNAcentral.